CAGUAGCCGCGGUAAUACGAAGGGUGCAAGCGUUACUCGGAAUUACUGGGCGUAAAGCGUGCGAAGGUGGUGGUUUUAGUCCGUUGUGAAAGCCCUGGGCUCAACCUGGGAAUUGCAGUGGAUACUGGGUCACUAGAGUGUGGUAGAGGAUAGUGGAAUUUCCGGUGUAGCAGUGAAAUGCGUAGAGAUCGGAAGGAACAUCUGUGGCGAAGGCGACUAUCUGGGCCAACACUGACACUGAGGCACGAAAGCGUGGGGAGCAAACAGGAUUAGAUACCCCUGUAGUCCCUGUCUCUUAUAC
This 301-nucleotide ribosomal RNA is filed under the name uncultured bacterium. Its description in RNAcentral is "partial 16S ribosomal RNA". It matches the Rfam family "Bacterial small subunit ribosomal RNA", at positions 509 to 807 of the family's 1533-position model. The record is from RNAcentral.